UACGAAGGGGGCUAGCGUUGCUCGGAAUCACUGGGCGUAAAGCGCACGUAGGCCGAUUGUUAAGUCAGGGGUGAAAUCCUGGAGCUCAACUCCAGAACUGCCCUUGAUACUGUCGGUCUCGAGUCCGGGAGAGGUGAGUGGAACUGCGAGUGUAGAGGUGAAAUUCGUAGAUAUUCGCAAGAACACCAGUGGCGAAGGCGGCUCACUGGCCCGGUACUGACGCUGAGGUGCGGAAGCGUGGGGAGCAAGCAGG
RNAcentral lists this ribosomal RNA (253 nucleotides) under uncultured bacterium. Its description in RNAcentral is "partial 16S ribosomal RNA". It matches the Rfam family "Bacterial small subunit ribosomal RNA", at positions 524 to 776 of the family's 1533-position model. The record is from RNAcentral.